This 465-nucleotide ribosomal RNA is filed under the name uncultured bacterium. RNAcentral's name for it is "partial 16S ribosomal RNA". It matches the Rfam family "Bacterial small subunit ribosomal RNA", at positions 28 to 507 of the family's 1533-position model. The record is from RNAcentral.
GACGAACGCUGGCGGCGUGCUUAACACAUGCAAGUCGAACGGAAAGGCCCCUUUGGGGGUACUCGAGUGGCGAACGGGUGAGUAACACGUGAGUAACCUGCCCUUGACUUCGGGAUAACUUCAGGAAACUGGGGCUAAUACCGGAUAGGAAUCCUUGCUGCAUGGUGGGGGUUGGAAAGCUUCGGCGGUUUUGGAUGGACUCGCGGCUUAUCAGCUUGGUGGUGGGGUAGUGGCUUACCAAGGCUUUGACGGGUAGCCGGCCUGGGAGGGCGACCGGCCACAUUGGGACUGGGAUACGGCCCAGACUCCUACGGGAGGCAGCAGUGGGGAAUAUUGCACAAUGGGCGGAAGCCUGAUGCAGCAACGCCGCGUGCGGGAUGACGGCCUUCGGGUUGUAAACCGCUUUCAGCAGGGGCGAAGCUUGUGGUGACGGUACCUGCAGAAGAAGCACCGGCUAACUACGUG